AUAAAAGGAUUAUUAAACAAUAAAGGUGUAUUUAUUAUUAAAUAAAGUAAUAUAUUAUUUAAUUAUUAAUUUUAGAAAAAAAUGAUUUUAUUAUAGUUUAAAGUAUAUUAAUAGAAUUUUUUUAUUUAUUUAAAAGAAGAUUUAAUUUAUUGUACCUUGUGUCUCAGGGUUUAUUAAAAAUUUUGUAAAGAUUUGUAAUUCUCGAAUUUUAAAGAUUUAAUUAUUUAAUAAUUUUAUUGUAAAAUAAAUAUUUAAAAUAAGUAAUUAGAAAUGAAACGUUAGUCGUUUUAAAUAGUAUCUAGUUUUUUUAGAAAUGGAUUUAAUUCAAGAUUUUUUUAAUAAUAAGAUAUUUAUUGGAUUUUUUUAUUAGAAAGUUUAUAUAAUUUUAGGGAAAAGCUUAAAAUUAGAAUUUUAUAAAUUUAUUUAAAAAUAUAAUUAAUAAGAAUAGAAGUUUCUAUUUUUUAAGUUAAUUAUAUAUUGUUAUAUAAAAUUAAUAUUUUUAUAAGUUUUAAGUUUUUUAUAAAAAUUAAUUAAUUAAUGAAGAAUUAAUUGUAAUUGUGAUAUAAUUAGUAUAAUUAAGGUUUAAUAAUAUUUUUUAUUAAAAAGAUUAUUAAAAGGAAUUCGGCAAAUUUAUUUUUCACCUGUUUAUUAAAAACAUGUUUUUUUGAUAAUAAUUUAAAGUCAGGCCUGCUCAAUGAGGAUUUAAAUAGCUGCAGUAUAUUGACUGUACAAAGGUAGCAUAAUCAUUAGUUUUUUAAUUGAAAGCUGGAAUGAAGGGUUUAAUGAAAAAAUAACUGUCUCUUGAUAAAUAUUUAGAAUUUUAUUUUUAAGUGAAAAAGCUUAAAUUUUUUAAAAAGACGAGAAGACCCUGUAGAGUUUAAUUUUUUAUUUAAAUAAAAUAUUUAGUUAAUAUGGUUUUAUUUAAAUAAAAAAUUUUAUUGGGGUGAUAAUUAAAUUUAUAUAACUUUAAAUUUUAUAAUCAUUAAUAUAUGAAUAUAUGAUCCUUGAUUAGGAUUAUAAGAAUAAAUUACCUUAGGGAUAACAGCGUAAUUUUUUUUGAGAGUUCAAAUCGAAAGAAAAGGUUGCGACCUCGAUGUUGGAUUAAAAUUAAAUUAGGGUGCAGAAGUUCUAAUUUUAAGUCUGUUCGACUUUUAAAAUUUUACAUGAUCUGAGUUUAAACCGGUGUGAGCCAGGUUGGUUUCUAUCUUUUAAAAAAUUUAUAUUUUAGUACGAAAGGACCAAAUAUGAGAAUUAUAUUUUUUUAUAAGAAUAAAA
This 1275-nucleotide ribosomal RNA is filed under the name Scraptia sp. SCR03. Its description in RNAcentral is "16S ribosomal RNA". The stretch from base 1038 to 1196 matches the Rfam family "Archaeal large subunit ribosomal RNA", at positions 2542 to 2701 of the family's 2987-position model. Lineage: Eukaryota; Metazoa; Arthropoda; Insecta; Coleoptera; Scraptiidae. The record is from RNAcentral.